Daphnia pulicaria is the source of this 1546-nucleotide long non-coding RNA. RefSeq lists it as uncharacterized. The record is from RefSeq and is a predicted model, not a curated record. The transcript has 7 exons. NCBI's taxonomy places the organism in Eukaryota, Metazoa, Arthropoda, Branchiopoda, Diplostraca, Daphniidae.
AGUGAGAACAUUUUCUAUGUCCAAAUUUGUCAACUCUUUCGUGCACUUUGGGGUGGCAUGGCUUCAGCCUCUGAGAAAACAGUUGAAUAACUUGACUUUAGACUACGUGAUGAUGAGUGGCGUGAUUUAACUACAUAAAGUCAAAAAUACUGCUCAUACUUGUGAUUGUGAUAAACAAAGAAAGCAAAUUUGAAAUUUCGUGUCAAACUGUCAAGGGAUUCUGUUUUAACAUCACGUCGACACUUAGCUGUCAUCUGUCAAUUUGGCUACAAUCUCGGAUCGGUUAACCAUAGGAUCGGAUCUUUUUUCUACAUUCUUCUAUUACUCAAUAUUAUAAGUCCAGGUCAAAUUCGUAUGUGUGAAGUUAAUCUGUACACAUGAAGUCAUUACAGGAAAAUACGACCGUCAAAGAUGAUUAACAUAAUAAUUUGUUACUGUUAGCACUGUCAGUAUUCAAAGAUGUAUUAAUCAGGUGUUCACUUCAACAACAUCACUAUGGAGGAGACUCCUCAUAUUCUCGUUAGCUGGUCCUGCAGUUAUCAGGUACAAGCUAGUGACAAUUUGCCUGGUAUUAAAAUUGUGUUCAUUUUUUACAGGGGAUUGAGUCUUUGUCAGAGGGCAUCGUUUCCCACCAGUCAAUGUUGAACAAAUUGGCCGGUAGCUGGGAAUUCAUUCAUAACUUUGAAAUUUGACAAGCAGGCUGUUUCUAUCUUCGACUAAGCUAAAAGAAGUCAUUGUAUCAUCAGCCCUUACUGAUGAAAUUCUUUUGAAUCCCACAACUAUGACCGCCAUCUAGCCUUUCCAGUCAAUGAGCUUCGAAAAUUAGCAAGCUGUCUGAAAAAAGGGGGAAAACGACUAGGGCUCAAGACUUGUUCUCUGAUAUGAUCCCCAUUAGUACUGACACCAAACUCCCUGCUUUGUUGAUCAAACAAUUGGUUCUGAGUGGAAAACUCACUGAGAUGGAAGCACAUUUAUGAUUCUUGUCCUACCCUACCAUCUGAGCAACUGUUCACCUCACGGGAGAAUCUCUUGAAAGAGAGCCUCAACAUAAAGAUCAAGGAACCGAUACCAUCAACAAGUACAUCAUAGCAUCAUAGCAUGUCGUGCAAGUCGUCAAAGAUCCACACUGCGUACUCCAACUUGAUGCCUGCUUCACUCUACGUAACACCAACUUGAUCCCUGCCAUUGAGCAAUAUGAGCAUCUUACGGAAAUACGCAUCUUGAGCAUCUCACGUCAAAAGCGACUCCGUUCUUUACGCCGUCAACCUCACGUAAUCUUUGCUCUGCAGGCUGCAGCCCAUCGUCACCGUUAACCGCAACAAUUUCUUGCCUGCUAUUCUCCCCCUGAUUCUGAAUGCCACCGAGAUCCGUGUAACCGCUUUCGUUCACCUUGUUCUGCCGGUCUGCGUUCUUACCCACUUUCUUCGAGCUGUUAUCUUUCCCCGUGUCUGUUAUUUGUUUAUAAAAAUACAAUCAUUUGCUAACAAACCUCUUUCGUAUUUCUUUGUUAAUAUAAAGAUAAAAUAAAAGCGCUAAUGUACGCAAA